RNAcentral lists this ribosomal RNA (292 nucleotides) under uncultured bacterium. RNAcentral describes it as "partial 16S ribosomal RNA". It matches the Rfam family "Bacterial small subunit ribosomal RNA", at positions 505 to 796 of the family's 1533-position model. The record is from RNAcentral.
GUGUCAGCAGCCGCGGUAAUACGUAGGUGGCAAGCGUUGUCCGGAUUUAUUGGGUUUAAAGGGUGCGUAGGCGGCCUAUUAAGUCAGUGCUGAAAUAUCCCGGCUUAACCGGGAGGGUGGCAUUGAUACUGAUGGGCUUGAGUAAAGUUGAGGUAGGCGGAAUUGACGGUGUAGCGGUGAAAUGCUUAGAUAUCGUCAAGAACACCUAUUGCGAAGGCAGCUUACUAAGCUUUAACUGACGCUGAUGCACGAAAGUGUGGGGAUCAAACAGGAUUAGAAACCCCAGUAGUCC